AGGAUGAACGCUAGCGACAGGCUAACACAUGCAAGCGAGGGGCAGCAUAGAAGAGCAAUACUGGCGGCGACCGGCGCAAGGGUGCGUAACGCGUGAGCAACAUGCCCGUAUCAGGGGGAUAAUCCAGGGAAACUUGGUCUAAUACCCAUAGUAAUUUUGUAAGGCAUCUUAUAAGAUUUAAAGCUUUGGUGGAUACGGAUUGGCUCGCGUGACAUUAGCUGGAUGGUAAGGUAACGGCUUACCAUGGCUAUGAUGUCUAGGGGUUCUGAGAGGAAGGCCCCCCACACUGGAACUGAGACACGGUCCAGACUCCUACGGGAGGCAGCAGUGAGGAAUAUUGGACAAUGGAGUGGAAAUCUGAUCCAGCCAUGCCGCGUGAAGGAAAGAAGGUCCUAUGGAUUGUAAACUUCUUUUGUAUGGGAGCAAUAAGGCCUACGAGUAGGUUGAUGAGAGUACCAUACGAAUAAGCACCGGCUAACUCCGUGCCAGCCGCAGC
Molecule: ribosomal RNA, 496 nt
Filed under: uncultured bacterium
Lineage: Bacteria
Description: bacterial SSU rRNA
Rfam family: Bacterial small subunit ribosomal RNA
Source: RNAcentral